GUCCUUAUUAACUGAUCAUGUCCGACCUAAAGAAGGUAAAGAAUGAAGACUCCAUUAAAAAUAGCGAAUGAAGAAAAAGAAAUUAGGAAAAAAGCAGUCGGAGUGGACUCACCGCCAUUUCCGCUGUACAUCAUCAGGCAGCCCUUUGCAAAGAUCUGCAUCAAGACUGAUUUGAAAACCUUUCACAUCGAUCAAGAUGGAGGUGCACAUGGAUCAAUACGCUUUUCACACCUUCCAAGAUUUCAGCAAAAGUAUUUAAUGGUGUAUUUGUGGCUGUUUUGUAACCAUCAGUUUACACGUAAUGUAAAAAAAUAUCUAUAUUUUUCCCG
Molecule: long non-coding RNA, 329 nt
Organism: Salvia hispanica
Lineage: Eukaryota; Viridiplantae; Streptophyta; Magnoliopsida; Lamiales; Lamiaceae
Source: RefSeq, a predicted model, not a curated record